RNAcentral lists this ribosomal RNA (301 nucleotides) under uncultured bacterium. RNAcentral describes it as "partial 16S ribosomal RNA". It matches the Rfam family "Bacterial small subunit ribosomal RNA", at positions 509 to 807 of the family's 1533-position model. The record is from RNAcentral.
CAGUCGCCACGGUAAUACGAAGGGUGCAAGCGUUACUCGGAAUUACUGGGCGUAAAGCGCACGUAGGCGGAUACUUAAGUCAGGGGUGAAAUCCCGGGGCUCAACCCCGGAACUGCCUUUGAUACUGGGUAUCUCGAGUCCGGAAGAGGUGAGUGGAAUUCCGAGUGUAGAGGUGAAAUUCGUAGAUAUUGGAUGGAACACCGGUGGCGAAAGCGGCUCUCUGGCCCGGAUCUGACGCUGAGGCGCGAAAGCGUGGGGAGCAAACAGGAUUAGAUACCCGCGUAGUCCCUGUCUCUUAUAC